ACGUUUCGAAAGGAACGCUAAUACCGCAUACGUCCUACGGGAGAAAGCAGGGGACCUUCGGGCCUUGCGCUAUCAGAUGAGCCUAGGUCGGAUUAGCUAGUUGGUGAGGUAAUGGCUCACCAAGGCUACGAUCCGUAACUGGUCUGAGAGGAUGAUCAGUCACACUGGAACUGAGACACGGUCCAGACUCCUACGGGAGGCAGCAGUGGGGAAUAUUGGACAAUGGGCGAAAGCCUGAUCCAGCCAUGCCGCGUGUGUGAAGAAGGUCUUCGGAUUGUAAAGCACUUUAAGUUGGGA
This 297-nucleotide ribosomal RNA is filed under the name Pseudomonas vranovensis. RNAcentral's name for it is "partial 16S ribosomal RNA". It matches the Rfam family "Bacterial small subunit ribosomal RNA", at positions 146 to 445 of the family's 1533-position model. Lineage: Bacteria; Pseudomonadati; Pseudomonadota; Gammaproteobacteria; Pseudomonadales; Pseudomonadaceae. The record is from RNAcentral.